Molecule: non-coding RNA, 5484 nt
Organism: Lactuca sativa (garden lettuce)
Lineage: Eukaryota; Viridiplantae; Streptophyta; Magnoliopsida; Asterales; Asteraceae
Source: RefSeq, a predicted model, not a curated record
GAAAUGUAAAAAAAAAAAGUUUUAGAAUGUAUGAUCUGUAAGAGCGAUCAGCACAUCAUUUUAGUUCUUGUUUUGCAGUGUUUUCAUCAAAUCAUUUGUAUAUUCUGUUUUGUAAAAGGUGGUAGGUAGUCUUGUAGUUUUUAUAUAAAAAGUCAAUACAACCCCAUAUUAAGUUUAUUUACAAGUUUUUUGAUAACAUAGGUGGUGUUUCUUAAUUUUUAGAUAUAUGAGAGUUCCCAUUCUCUUUGUUAUAAGAAGAGCCCUUAAUUAGUAAGGCAUUAAUCAUUUGAUGCACCAUUAAUUUUUUUUUUGUUAUAAAAGAGCUCUUAAUUGGUUUAUUUUUCUAUAGACUUGCUCUUAGUUAAUUGUUUACGGUUCAUAUUAUGUGCUUUAGAAAAAUCUAUUAACAGAUAUUUGAUUCCUACAAAAAGCCACCCAGACCGAAAUUUGCAUAGGCAAUAGCAGGUUCGUGUUCCCUGAUUCUUUCUUGCUAUAGUUAAAUGCACUUUCUUACUUUCUAUCCAUUUCUUUUAUGUCAAAAAGAUAUUUGAUUAUUUUUGUUUUUGGUGAUAGCAAGAUUGGUGUUUUAUAGUUUUUUGAGAGUUCCAUAAUUAAUAGUUAACUUUUUUCAAAGCCUAGUUGCCCUCUGCCAAUCAUCAACCAUUAGGGUGUCAUUGGUCUUGCUAGGUUAGUAAUAAUAUGUUUAAGAUAAUAGUUAGACACUAUGCUUCUUUUUCCAUUUGCAUUUUCUUGUGUAGCUUUGUCUCUACGGUGGUUGCGCUUUGUUUGUGUUCUUAUGUGGCUUUUUUUGUAGGGAUUUGCUUUGUUCAUAUGUAGAGUUAUUGUGUGGCUUUGUUUGCAAAGUUUUGCUUUAUUUGUAUAGGUCUUGUGUAGAUAUCAUUUGUUGGGUUUGUUUGUAGAGUUGUAAGGUUUUGUUUUGGUUAUGUGGCUUUGUUUCUAGGGUUCUACUUAAUUUCUUGUGGCUUUGUGUGAAUGAUUCUGCCUUGAGAUUCAUGUCUUGGUUUAGUUUGUAGGGUUUUACUUUUGAAUUUGUGUCUUUUUUUUUGGUUGGAAUUUUGUUUUUUUUUGGGUAGAGUAAAUGUGUGGCUUUGUUUGUAGGGUUCUACUGUGUUACUAGAGUAGCUUUGCUUAAAAGGUUCUACUUUUUUUUUUGUAGAGAGUUCUUGUGUGGCUUGUUUAUAGGGUUACUUUAUUUGUUUCUUGUGUGGAUUACUUGUUUUGAUUGAUGUAUUUAUCUGUUAUGUUUUGUAAAUAUAUUUAGUUUAAUUGUUUCAAAUAUCUUUUAUGAGUUAAUUAUCUGAUUCUGAUUCGAUUUUAAUUAAGUUUUAUGUUCAUAAACUCUCCUGUGUCAAGGAAAUAAGUUAUGGUUUUCUUUGUUUUGAAUUUUACUUUUGGUGACAAGUGUUCUUUCCAACACUUGAUUUUUUAUUACUUACUCGUGUUGUUGUUUAUUACUUAGGGAUAUUUAGUUUCUGUCUUUGAAUUUAUGUAACAUUUAUUUAUUUGCCUCAUUUUAGUUGGAAAUGUAAGUGUAAUUCUUACUGGAUCCUUAAAAGAGUUUUAGAAUAUAUAUGAUCUUUAACAGCAAUCAACACAUCAUUUUAGCUCUUGUUUUGCAGUGUUUUCAUCAAAUCAUUUAUUUGUAUAUGGUGUGUUUUAUGCAUGUUGUCUUGUAGUUUUUAUAUUAAAACCCGAUACAACUUUUUCUUGGUCAGACUUGACUUUUCACAACUGAAAAUAUCUUCUUGUUUACAUUUUCAUGUCCAAUUGCAGUUUUAUCUUUAGGUAGGGUUGCUAGGGUUUUUUUUAUGUUGGCUAUUUAUUUAAUCGACAAUGCUGUGAAAUAUUUACUAAUAUGUCUUUAAGUUUUAUUUAUGUUUUAAGCUAAAGGUAAGAAGAAAUUCCAGGAAGAUUUCCAACCCCAUAUUCUUUGAUGGAUUCAAUGUUUGUUCGUGUUUGAAUUCCUCCAAUGUGUAUUGAUAAUCUGUCAUAGUUCAUAAUUGGUGUUGUGUGUUUAUGGUUCUCAUAUGUUUGUAAUUCAAUAACGUUAUAUCUGAUUGGGAUGUUUGAUAUGUUAUUGCCGAUAAUUUUCUUUCUUGAAUCUGUUGAAAGCUUUCCCAAUUUAGUAUUGUUAUUUCUUAUUUUUAUGGUUUCUGCCUUUGUCCAUGAGCAUUUAUUAGUUACUAAUGCUUAUUUGAUUUCAGAUAUAUUAUUGUUGGCUAAUACAACUAUUGUGUCUUGGUUAGAAGCCUGAUCAUAGUGUUAUUUUCUACUACUUUUAGUUGUUUAAUUUCACCUGUAUAUAGAGUUUUUUUUUUCCAAUGUAGUUUUACUUUAAAAUAUCCCUUAAUUGGUAAGUCAUUAAUCAUUUUAUGCACCAUCAGUGUUUUUUGUAGAGACUUCGCUUUUAGUUAAUUGUUUAUGGUUAAUAAUAUUUGUUUUAGAAAAAUCUAGUAAUAUGUUCAAAAAGCCACCGACAAAAAUUUGCAUAAGCUAUUGCACAGUCAUGUUCCCUGAUUCUUUCUUGCUUUAGUUAAACACACUUUCUUACUUUCUAUCCAUUUCUUUAAUGCCCUAAACAUAUUUUGUGUUGAUUACAAGUUUUGUUUCUUUUUUUUGGGCGAUAGCAAGAUUGGUUUUUUAUAGUUUUGGUCAUGCUUGAGAGUUCCAUAAAUAGUUACUUUUGUUCAAACCCUAGUUGCCCUCCGCCAAUCAUCAACCAUUAAGGUGUCAUUACUCUUCCUAGGUUAUCAAUAUAUUUUACAUCUAAUUAAACACAAUUUGUUUGUACGCUUCGGAUUUGGAAUUCUUUGUCCAUUUGCAUUUUCUUGUGUAGCUUUGUUUCUAGGGUUGUUGCGCUUUGUUUGUGUUCUUUUGUGGCUUUAUUUGUAGGGAUUUGUUUUGUUUGUAGAGUUUUUGUAUGGUACUUGCUUUGUUUGCGAGGUUUUGCUUAAUUUGUAGAGUUCUUGUGUGGCUUUUUUUGUAGGGUUCUGCUUUGGAUAUUGUUUGUCAACUUGCAUUUUCUUGUGUAGCUUUAUUAGUAGAGGCCUUGUGUAGAUUUCUUUUGUAGGGUUUAUUUGUGGAGUUCUAUGGUUUUGUUUUUAUGGUUAUGUUUGUAGGGUUCUACUUUGGAAUUCUUCUCAUUUGUAUUUUCUUGUAUGGCUUUGUUUGUAGGGUUCUACUUUGUUUGGAGAGUUAUUGUGGCUUUGUUUAUAGGGUUUUGCUUUGUCUGCAAAGUUCUUAUGUGGCUUUGUUUUUACAAUUAUCUAUUUGUAUUUUAUUGUGAGGCUUUGUUUAUAGGGUUCUACUUUGUUUGUUUCUUGUGUGGCUUUCUUUGUAUGAUUCUACUUUUGAAUUUGUGUCCCUUUUCUUAUGUGGCUUUGUUUGCAGGGUUCUACUUUGUUAGUAGAGUAGCUUUGCCUAUAAGAUUCUACUUUUUUUUUUAAUAGACUUCUUGUGUGGCUUUGUUUGUAGGGUUGUACUUUAUUUGUUUCUUGUGUGGAUUAAUUUGUAGGAUCCUGCUUUGGAAUUCAUGUCUUGGUUCAGUUUGGAGGGAUCUAUUUUUGUGUUCGUGUUCUUAUGUGGCUUUGUUUGUAAGAUUCUGCAUUGGAAUUCAUGUCUUUGGUUCAAUUUGUAGGGUUCUAUUUUUGAAUUUGUGUCCCUUUUUUGUGUGACUUUGUUUGUAGGGUUCUAGUGUGGUCUUGUUUGUAGGAUUCUACUUUGGAAUUCAUGUCUUAGGUUUAGUUUAUAGGUUUCUAUGUUUGAAACUGUGUCUUUUUUUCUUGUAUGGCUUGUUUUGCUUUGUUUGUAGAGUUUUUAUUUAUUUGCAAAGUUAUUAUAUGCCUUGUUUAUACAUUUAUUUGUUUGUAUUUUGUUGUGUGGCUUUGUUUGUAGGGUUUUAUAUUGUUUGUAGGGUUCUACGUUGUUCGUGGAGUACUUUUGUUUAUAAGGUUUUACUUUGUAGAUAGUACUUUUGUGGCUUUAUUUGUAGGGUUCUAUUUUGUUUGGUUCUUGUGUGGCUUUGUUUGUAGGAUUUUGCUUUAGUAUUUGUGUCCUGAUUCAGUUUGUAGGAUUUUACUUUGAAGUUCUUGUGUGAUUUUGCUUUCUUUGUUUCACGUGUGGCUUUGUUUGUAAGAUUUUGCUUUGGAAUUCAUGUGUUGAGUUCAGUUUGUAGGGUUCUACUUAUGAAUCCAUGCCUCGUUUCUUGUGUGGCUUUGUUUAGUGGGAUUGCCUUGUUUGUACGAUUCUUGUGUCUUUUAUUUGUAGGCUAGUGCUUGGUUUGUAGAGAUGUUAUGUGAGCUCUGUUUAUAGGAUUUUUCUUGGAGGUCUUGUCUAGAGUUAUGUUUGAAGGAAUCCACUUUGGGGAUUCUUAUCCAUUUGCAUUGUCUUAUGUGGCUUUGUUUGUAGGGAUUUACUUUUUAUGUAGAGUUAUUGGGGUUCUUAUCCAUUUGCAUUUUAUUUAUUUUGUAAAGUUCUUAUUUGGCUUUAUUUAUAGGUUCUGUUUGUUUUUAGAGUUCUUGGUGGCUUUGUUUGUUGGAUUUUUCUUUUGGAUUGUUUUAAUGGGUUCUCUUUGUUGUAGGGCUUUAUUUUAGAAGUAUUUCCCAUUUUCAUUUUCUUAUAUGGCUUCAUUUUCUUAUCUUGCGUUAGAAUUCUUUUCUUGGGUUAAGUUUGUGGGGCUAUGCUUUAGAUUUCUUCUCUAACUGCAUUUACUUGUGUGACUUUGUUUGUAGAGAUCUUUUCCAUUUAUUUUCUUUCCACUCUUAAGGUUUUGUGUUGAUCCUUUGUUCAUUUUCAUUUUCUUGUCCGACUUUGUUUGUGAAUUCUUUGUCUUGGGUUCUAUUUGUGAAGAAUUUAAACAUAACCCUACAAAUAAAGUCAAACAAGAAAAAGCAAAUCAACAAGACCUAGUGUUAGUCUCGAGUCCGAGACAUUUAAUAAAUGAUGUGACAUGUUAAUCUUUGAGCUAAUAAAAAUUGUCAUUUUUUUGAGAUCCCUCCACCAUACGUGUGAGGGAACAACAACCAUCUGCUAUUUUUGCAGAUUAUCGAUCCCGGGCCUCCUCUUCCUGGGUCACUGAUACUGGAUCUAGUCAUCAUGUUGCAUCCGAUCUCUCGAGCUUUGAUCACUCCGAGGCAUACCAUGGCCAUGACAACUUAUAUGUUGGCAACGGACGAGAAUACUCACACUAUCAUCCUCAUGGUCCAAAUAGUGGCGGCCUUUACUCCUUUCACCUUCCGCAGUUGCAGUCUACCUCGUCUAAAGUUGCUUUCUUCGCUACCCAUGCUUCUUCCGUCACUUGGCAUCAACGACUUGGACAUCCCCAUCCGCAACUGUUGAAGUCAAUGAUUUCAUGAUAUAGUUUACCUUUAUCAAACAAUUUUGUUAGUUCACCUUGUGAUUCUUGUUCUAUUGGAAAAUCUUCAAAACUUCAUCUAUCAUCUUCUAAUUAUAAAAGUUCUCAUA